Molecule: long non-coding RNA, 363 nt
Organism: Oxyura jamaicensis (ruddy duck)
Lineage: Eukaryota; Metazoa; Chordata; Aves; Anseriformes; Anatidae
Exons: 3
Source: RefSeq, a predicted model, not a curated record
AAAAGACUCCCAGAGGGAAACCCUGCAGCAACAGCAAGUCAGAACAGGUGCUCUGCAGCAGACCCAAGGAGAGACUCAAAUGUCACGACCUGCGACUGGAAGCAACUGCCGGAACUGGGAUGAUGGAGGCAUAAAUAGCCUGCCUUUAAGACAAGAGACCGGAACGAUGGGCACUGCAAACCCCAUAAGAAAAACGCUUCGGAAAUGAAUUCCCAAGCAAGAGCUCCUGAUGAAGCCCACAUGACUUCCGCAACAGCGAGGAUGGAAACAGAUGCGAUCUGAAACCGAGUAUGACGCACAAGACCUGAAACGCAUCUGCACUUUAAGCUGCAACUGCAAGUCAAGAAGAACCAGGAUGACAAA